RNAcentral lists this ribosomal RNA (728 nucleotides) under Enterococcus faecium. Its description in RNAcentral is "partial 23S ribosomal RNA". It matches the Rfam family "Bacterial large subunit ribosomal RNA", at positions 1 to 732 of the family's 2925-position model. Lineage: Bacteria; Bacillati; Bacillota; Bacilli; Lactobacillales; Enterococcaceae. The record is from RNAcentral.
GGUUAAGUGAAUAAGGGCGCACGGUGGAUGCCUUGGCACUAGGAGCCGAUGAAGGACGGGACUAACACCGAUAUGCUUUGGGGAGCUGUACGUAAGCUAUGAUCCAGAGAUUUCCGAAUGGGGGAACCCAACAUCUUUAAUAGGAUGUUACGAUUGUGUGAAUACAUAGCACAUUCGAGGUAGACGCAGAGAACUGAAACAUCUAAGUACCUGCAGGAAGAGAAAGAAAAUUCGAUUCCCUGAGUAGCGGCGAGCGAAACGGGAAAAGCCCAAACCAGCAAGCUUGCUUGUUGGGGUUGUAGGACUCCAAUAUGGUAGUUCUUUCAGAUAGUCGAAUGACUUGGAAAAGUCAGUCAAAGAGGGUAAAAACCCCGUAGACGAAAUGUGGAAGACACCUAGGAGGAUCCUGAGUACGGCGGAACACGAGAAAUUCCGUCGGAAUCCGGGAGGACCAUCUCCCAAGGCUAAAUACUCCCUAGUGACCGAUAGUGAACCAGUACCGUGAGGGAAAGGUGAAAAGCACCCCGGAAGGGGAGUGAAAUAGAACCUGAAACCGUGUGCCUACAACAAGUCAAAGCCCGUUAAUGGGUGAUGGCGUGCCUUUUGUAGAAUGAACCGGCGAGUUACGAUUGCAUGCGAGGUUAAGUUGAAGAGACGGAGCCGCAGCGAAAGCGAGUCUGAAUAGGGCGUUUGAGUAUGUAGUCGUAGACCCGAAACCAUGUGAUCUA